Molecule: ribosomal RNA, 301 nt
Filed under: uncultured bacterium
Lineage: Bacteria
Description: partial 16S ribosomal RNA
Rfam family: Bacterial small subunit ribosomal RNA
Source: RNAcentral
CAGUCGCCGCGGUAACACGUAGGUGGCAAGCGUUGUCCGGAAUUAUUGGGCGUAAAGGGCUCGCAGGCGGUUUCUUAAGUCUGGUGUGAAAGCCCCCGGCUCAACCGGGGAGGGUCAUUGGAAACUGGGAAACUUGAGUGCAGAAGAGGAGAGUGGAAUUCCACGUGUAGCGGUGAAAUGCGUAGAGGUGUGGAGGAACACCAGUGGCGAAGGCGACUCUCUGGUCUGUAACUGACGCUGAGGAGCGAAAGCGUGGGGAGCGAACAGGAUUAGAUACCCCAGUAGUCCCUGUCUCUUAUAA